RNAcentral lists this small nuclear RNA (268 nucleotides) under Octodon degus (degu). Its description in RNAcentral is "7SK RNA (ENSODEG00000022595.1)". It matches the Rfam family "7SK RNA". Rfam says of the family: 7SK was discovered as an abundant small nuclear RNA in the mid-70s but a possible function has only recently been suggested. Two independent studies have found that 7SK RNA binds the CDK9/cyclin T complex (known as elongation factor P-TEFb). P-TEFb activates transcription by phosphorylating the C-terminal domain of RNA polymerase II. Lineage: Eukaryota; Metazoa; Chordata; Mammalia; Rodentia; Octodontidae. The record is from Rfam by way of RNAcentral.
UGAUGUGAAGACCAUCUGACUGCCACAUCUGUCACUCCACUGAUUGCAGACAUCCCCCUCCUUCACCAAGCCAUGAGCGACCCUCAGAAAGCCCCUGCUCUGUGGCAGAGGAGAACCAUUCCCAAUAGAGGAGGGCCUGCCUCUGAUAAGGGUCUAGGAGUAGCUGCCUUCCCCUCAUGGAACCUCCAAACAGCUCUCAAUUUAUAUGUAAUUAACUUUAUGUGUGUGUUCUUCACAUAUGAAGGUCAUAAUUUGCAUUUCUUUUUGU